UCUUCAUGUUCUUUAUUAAACCAAUAUAGCAUUAAUGCGUUUGUAACAUUUUAUCAAUUGUUUUGAUUUUGGACAUAAAAUCUACUACAUAAAAUGAAUUUGAAAAACAAUGAGCAAUGCAUAUCUUCUCUUAUAUAUAUCUAUAUACAUGUAUAUAUAUUAAUAAGGAUGUCUGAUCAUACAAAUAAAAACCAUUUAUUUUCAUGUUUUUUUUAAGAACCAACAAAGCUGAAUGACUAUCUGUGUGUGUUAAAUUAAAAACAAUGAAAGAAGUAGAUUCAGUAAGACCCCUUUUUGGCCCCAAAAUAUAGCAGUUUUACAAAAUUGUUAAAAUGUUAACUUUUAGUUAUUUAUUGGAAAGAAGAUUGCUUCUGCUGCAUAAAUAUGGGCUUUUUUUUUUACAAUACAAUACAUAUAUAUCGGGUAAUAGCAUCAUUAAGUCAUGCUAAAUUACUGAAAUCUUCACAAUUUAAGCAUUUUAGUCAAAUUUUAGACAGUUUCCAUCUCAAAUGAAAGAUGCAUCUGUGUUCAUUCUUAAUAUUGAAAUGUAAGUUGUAUUUGGUGAGAAUACAUAACAUAUAUAAAGGUUGAGGAUGAACACGUAUGCGGUCACUUUCAUUUUUGACAAAAACCAUCUGAAAAGUGACAUUUUUGGCAUAUUUAAUAGAUUUUUUUAUAUCUAAAAAUAAAAUUGAGAAUGGAAAUGGGGAAUGUGUCAAAGAGACAAAAACCCGACAAUAGAACAGACAACAGCAGAAGGUCACCAAUAGGUCUUCAAUACAGCGAGAAAUUCCCGCACCCAGAGGUGUCCUUCAGCUGGCCCCUAAACAAAUAUAUAUACUAGUUCAGUGAUAAUGAACGCCAUACUAAACUCCAAAUUUUUCGGACUAACCUAUUUUUUAAAAUAAAUAUACCUGAAACUGUCAACAUGACUCCCUGUUUUUUUUCUUCAAGUAACUAGAUAAGAAAUUAAAAAUCUGGUAUGUUCCUCUGAUUGACUUUGUAUAUCAAUGUUAUAUAUAGUUUAUUUAUAAUAAUAUAUCAUACCAGUGAAACAUAUGCAUCAUAAAACCUAUUUAUGGCACUGGCUUUUGUUCCAGUAAUGAAGGAAUGUAAAAAAUGCUCUGCUUAUUAUUUUUGAAUAAUGUUUUCGUCAUAUUUCAAGCUAUUGAAACUUAAUAUUUUGCAUAAAUCAUUGAUUUUAUUACAUUUAAUAUUUUAUAUGAGACACAGAACUUGUAUAAAAUUUUGACUGCUUACAGCCUUUUCUGCUCAUAGGUACUCAUAUCUUUAAUAAAGGAUAAUAAGAAAAACCUUUUAACUAAUAUAAUGUGAAAGGUAAUGACUCACUUUUUUUCUAUUUUAUGCAAUUGGUUAUGGUUAUAAAAAUACUUCAUGGUGAGGUUUUUUAGUUCUAAUCUAACCUAUUUGCCAUCUGGUUAAAAAACCCAGUCUACUUAAAAGAGGGAAUUUAUAUGUGCAUGCUAUAAAUAUAUAUUGAGCUAGCAAUUAUUUAUGUGACUUAUCAUUUUUGUAGUUCAUAUGUUUAACUUUAAGUUCAUGAAGUUUUUGAAAUAACAACCAAAACUAAAAAAAAACUCAUUAAAAGAUAACAUUUCAAGUUAUAAAAACAGGUUGUCAAAUUUUCAGAGUAUAUAGUGAUCAUGUCAUGCUGAUAAUUUUUGCAAUUUACAAUUGGUACCUAGGUUCUACAAUUUUCACAAAAACAGCCCAUAUUUUAAACUGCAAAAAUUGGAAAAAUUGGGAAAAAACAUACAAAAUGUCAAAACAGGUUGAUAUAAGCCUGAAAUUUUAAUUCACCUGUGCACAAUUCAGCAAUAAACAAUUAAAUCUGAUUUUUUUGGAAAAUUAUGCCAUUGCCAUGAACACUUUUUUGAAAUGUGUACUUUAGUUGUAGUCAUUUCUUAAUAACAAAAUGCAGUAUGUUAUAAUCUCUUUUGCCUUAAAUAUGUAACUUUUCAUAUUUUUGGUAUGUGUUUUGCAGUACAACUGCACACUUACUCAGAAAAUAUACAAAGAUUAUAAUUUUUAACCUGAAUUUUAUAAUGCUUUCAUAAAUUAAUAAUAUUAACACAAGUAUUAAAAACAAAACAAUGGAAGACAUAAAUUCUAUAUUAUUUCUGAGACAAACAAGUCAUAAUAACAUCUAUCACAAAAGUUUUAC
RNAcentral lists this long non-coding RNA (2185 nucleotides) under Mytilus galloprovincialis (Mediterranean mussel). The record is from RNAcentral. Lineage: Eukaryota; Metazoa; Mollusca; Bivalvia; Mytilida; Mytilidae.